UCAACAGCACUUGAGUGAGGAAGAAGGCACUUGGCAAGGCCACCAAGGUCACCUCAGGCCUUCCCAGCCUGCACUGGCUGCCACCCCUACAUGGCCCACAUCAUGGGGGGAUGACAGUAGUGGUGGUGAGGCACCAUGUGGCAGAGGGGACUCUCACUGCACCCACCCAAACAGGCACGCUCAGGCCAACAGAACCUCAUUAGAGAUCGCUAUUAUCACAGAAGCUAGCCUACGACAGCUCCACCUUCCAAACAGGCCAGUGGAACUUGGUUACUGAAUGGCCAGGAGACACCUUCACGGAAACACCAGGACCCAAAGUAUACGCCUGUGCUGGCACCUCUACGCGGCACCCACUUCUGUGCUUCUGGGCCUGGGCCCGGCUGCAGUCCGUGAGGACGGUGCCUCCCCCGCUCUCCUCAGGCAGGCGGAUUCAUCGUCACAUUCAAAGAGGCCGCAGCUUCCCCAUUGCUAAGAUGAAAACGCACUGUGUUCACCGGGCUGAGGAUGCAUGAUCCACCUGCCGGGCCCGAGGGAGGAGGGAGGACAGAAGUACAUCCGAGAAUCACUGCAGCCCAAGACCCAGCGCUCCGAGCUGUGGACAAUUAUAAUCAUCUAAAUCAAAAAUAUAAGAGUAUCUAUGGAACAUUCUGAAAGAAACACACCAUUUGUAAACUUUCGGAGAUAACGAAUUCAUGAAUGCUCCAUUUACAGUGUUGUCUCCAGCGUUUAAAAAACAACGUACCAAGUACCAUAUUUAUGGCCAUUAAAAAAAAUGUUUCUAAA
Molecule: long non-coding RNA, 783 nt
Organism: Suricata suricatta (meerkat)
Lineage: Eukaryota; Metazoa; Chordata; Mammalia; Carnivora; Herpestidae
Exons: 3
Source: RefSeq, a predicted model, not a curated record